RNAcentral lists this ribosomal RNA (846 nucleotides) under uncultured bacterium. RNAcentral describes it as "bacterial SSU rRNA". It matches the Rfam family "Bacterial small subunit ribosomal RNA", at positions 28 to 848 of the family's 1533-position model. The record is from RNAcentral.
GACGAACGCUGGCGGCGUGCCUAACACAUGCAAGUCGAACGGGAAAAUUGAGAGCUUGCUCUUGAAAUUCUAGUGGCGAACGGGUGAGUAACGCGUAAACAACCUACCUUUUGGACGGGGACAACAGACGGAAACGACUGCUAAUACCCGAUGAACCGAUUGAGAGCAUUCAACAUACGGCAAAGGUGGCCUAUCUAUAGAAGCUAUCGCCGAAAGAGGGGUUUGCGUCUGAUUAGUUAGUUGGUGAGGUAACGGCUCACCAAGACGAUGAUCAGUAGCCGGUCUGAGAGGAUGAACGGCCACACUGGAACUGAGACACGGUCCAGACUCCUACGGGAGGCAGCAGUGGGGAAUCUUCCGCAAUGGACGAAAGUCUGACGGAGCAACGCCGCGUGAGUGAUGAAGGUCUUCGGAUUGUAAAACUCUGUUAUUCGGGAAGAAAAAGCUUACUGUGAAUAAUGGUAAGAAGUGACGGUACCGAAAGAGAAAGCCACGGCUAACUACGUGCCAGCAGCCGCGGUAAUACGUAGGUGGCAAGCGUUGUCCGGAAUUAUUGGGCGUAAAGAGCGCGCAGGCGGUCACUUAAGUCAGUCUUAAAAGUGCGGGGCUUAACCCCGUGAGGGGAUUGAAACUGGGUGACUUGAGUAUCGGAGAGGAAAGUGGAAUUCCUAGUGUAGCGGUGAAAUGCGUAGAGAUUAGGAAGAACACCGGUGGCGAAGGCGACUUUCUGGACGAGAACUGACGCUGAGGCGCGAAAGCGUGGGGAGCAAACACGAUUAGAUACCCUGCUAGUCCACGCCGUAGACGAUGGGUACUAGUGUACGAGUAUCGACUCCUUCUGUGCAG